Molecule: ribosomal RNA, 234 nt
Filed under: uncultured bacterium
Lineage: Bacteria
Description: partial 16S ribosomal RNA
Rfam family: Bacterial small subunit ribosomal RNA
Source: RNAcentral
CCGGGUGAGUAACACGUGACUAACCUACCCUCGAGUGUGGAAUAACAUCGGGAAACCGAUGCUAAUACCGCAUAACAUCUUUGAAGUGGAAAUUUCGGAGAUCAAAGGAGCAAUUCGCUGGAAGAGGGGGUCGCGGCUGAUUAGCUAGUUGGCGGGGUAAUGGCCCACCAAGGCUUUGAUCGGUAGCCGGCCUGAGAGGGCGCACGGCCACACUGGAACUGAAACACGGUCCAG